UACGAAGGGGGCUAGCGUUGCUCGGCAUCACUGGGCGUAAAGCGCACGUAGGCGGCUUGCUAAGUCAGGGGUGAAAUCCUGGAGCUCAACUCCAGAACUGCCCUUGAUACUGGCGGUCUCGAGUCCGGGAGAGGUGAGUGGAACUGCGAGUGUAGAGGUGAAAUUCGUAGAUAUUCGCAAGAACACCAGUGGCGAAGGCGGCUCGCUGGCCCGAUACUGACGCUGAGGUGCGAAAGCGUGGGGAGCAAACAGG
This 253-nucleotide ribosomal RNA is filed under the name uncultured bacterium. RNAcentral's name for it is "partial 16S ribosomal RNA". It matches the Rfam family "Bacterial small subunit ribosomal RNA", at positions 524 to 776 of the family's 1533-position model. The record is from RNAcentral.